ACUCAGUGAAAUUGAACUCGCUGUGAAGAUGCAGUGUACCCGCGGCAAGACGGAAAGACCCCGUGAACCUUUACUAUAGCUUGACACUGAACAUUGAGCCUUGAUGUGUAGGAUAGGUGGGAGGCUUUGAAGUGUGGACGCCAGUCUGCAUGGAGCCGACCUUGAAAUACCACCCUUUAAUGUUUGAUGUUCUAACGUGGACCCGUGAUCCGGGUUGCGGACAGUGUCUGGUGGGUAGUUUGACUGGGGCGGUCUCCUCCUAAAGAGUAACGGAGGAGCACGAAGGUUGGCUAAUCCUGGUCGGACAUCAGGAGGUUAGUGCAAUGGCAUAAGCCAGCUUGACUGCGAGCGUGACGGCGCGAGCAGGUGCGAAAGCAGGUCAUAGUGAUCCGGUGGUUCUGAAUGGAAGGGCCAUCGCUCAACGGAUAAAAGGUACUCCGGGGAUAACAGGCUGAUACCGCCCAAGAGUUCAUAUCGACGGCGGUGUUUGGCACCUCGAUGUCGGCUCAUCACAUCCUGGGGCUGAAGUAGGUCCCAAGGGUAUGGCUGUUCGCCAUUUAAAGUGGUACGCGAGCUGGGUUUAGAACGUCGUGAGACAGUUCGGUCCCUAUCUGCCGUGGGCGCUGGAGAACUGAGGGGGGCUGCUCCUAGUACGAGAGGACCGGAGUGGACGCAUCACUGGUGUUCGGGUUGUCAUGCCAAUGGCACUGCCCGGUAGCUAAAUGCGGAAGAGAUAAGUGCUGAAAGCAUCUAAGCACGAAACUUGCCCCGAGAUGAGUUCUCCCUGACCCUUUAAGGGUCCUGAAGGAACGUUGAAGACGACGACGUUGAUAGGCCGGGUGUGUAAGCGCAGCGAUGCGUUGAGCUAACCGGUACUAAUGAACCGUGAGGCUUAACCUUACAACGCCGAAGGUGUUU
Molecule: ribosomal RNA, 918 nt
Filed under: Escherichia coli
Lineage: Bacteria; Pseudomonadati; Pseudomonadota; Gammaproteobacteria; Enterobacterales; Enterobacteriaceae
Description: partial 23S ribosomal RNA
Rfam family: Bacterial large subunit ribosomal RNA
Source: RNAcentral